RNAcentral lists this small nucleolar RNA (101 nucleotides) under Myotis lucifugus (little brown bat). Its description in RNAcentral is "Small nucleolar RNA snR62 (ENSMLUG00000021362.1)". Lineage: Eukaryota; Metazoa; Chordata; Mammalia; Chiroptera; Vespertilionidae. The record is from RNAcentral.
CAGAGUAAGGAGUCUAUGUAGGGAAAGUAAUCUACAAUACAUUUAAAUUAAUAACUUUCAAAAGUUUCAAGUAAGAUAAAAUAACAAUCCAAAUUCUAUUG